UGAACAUGGGAGUACAUACAUCUGUUUGAGGAACUCAGAGUGGUUUUCCAGAUGGGAAUCACAUUGCUCUCUGUCCCUGAGAUCUUGCUGGAGACAGGGCUACUCAGUCCCUCUUUGCCAGGUAAUCUGUUCCAGAAGAAACAUGUGUCGUUCUGACUGAGCCCCUGCCUGUCUGUCACCUUAAGAGCCAGUCAAUUCAUAUGGUCCCCAUAUCAAAGUCUCCUGUGCCCAGAGAGAGGAUUUCAUUUCAACCAUCACCAUCACCACCAUCAUCAUCAUCACCAAGAGAUGUUGUUGAAUUGAUACUGGAAAAGCAGUUUCUAUUGAGCCCCCAAAUGAAGAGUGAGUGCAGAUGAAGAGGAGGCAGGACUCACAAGCCCUUGAACUUUAUUCCAGAUCUGUUAGCACCUACAGGACCCUGCACCAGGAUUUCAUCUGUACUAUCAGCUUCUUCAAAGAGAGAGAGGUUGUUGAAAUAUUUUCAGUCCAAGAUUGGUUGCAUUCAUGUAUGCAGAAUCCACAGAUACAAAAGGUCAACUGUACUUAUUUAUUUAAUUCUCACCACAACCUAUGAGAAGGAUCUAUUGUUGCCUGACUUUAGAAAAAAGGAAACUGAGGUACAGUGAAGACAGAGUUAGCAAGUGCCAAGGCUUAGAUGUGAACACAGGCUGUGUGGCUCCUGAGUAAAUUCAUCUAUCCAGUGUGUGCUGCUGCCUCUCAAAUGAUGAGAAAAAUCUUGCUUUUUCAGGCCGGGCACAGUGGCUCACGCCUGUAAUCCCAGUUACAGGGAUCACCUCGUGAUCUCAGUGAUAGAUAACACCAGAUUGAUAUUGGAAAAGCAGUUUCCCAUUGAGUCUCAAAUGAAGAGAGUGCAGAUGAAGAGGAGCUCUUCAUGUGGAUGUCUGAGCUCAUAUCAGGUGUCUGAAAGAGGCAGAUUCUGAGGAUUUGGGUCAUGAUGGCUGCCAAAGCUUCUACUCCUGACUUAAAGGGCAACAAUCCUAGGAGACCACCAGCACUUACAUCCCUGGUAGGACAUGACACCUGCUUAUGGCUCAGAAGUGACAAAAGAGAAUUAUCAGGAUGGCAGUCCUUAUAACCAGAUGCUUAUCAACAUUCUUCACUACAUUCUGAAGAUGAAUUUCUACAAGGGAAAUUGUUUAUAUUUGUUGUUGGGGAUAGAUAAGGAAAGAAGAAAAAGGCUCUGGUGAGAAACCCAUUGUACCUUCUGGAUAUGAUCACUACCCAAUUUUAUCAGUGUCAUUGAUCACUAACCCAGUGCCUCGUAUGGUGCCAGGCACAGAGUUACUCCAAGAAUGUACAAUAAUGGCUGGAUUCUCUUUCUCCCUGUGCAACUCUUCAUGCAUGUGACUGAACUUAUAUUAAGUGUCUGAAGGAGGUUCGUUCUGAGGAUCUGGGACAUGAUGGGUGCUGAAGCUUCUACUCAAGAUUUGAAGGGCAGCUGUCCUCAGGAGACCCCUGGCACUUCCCUCCAUGGUGGGAUGUGAUGCCUGAUUCCAGUGAGUUCAUAGAGCUGAACAAAAGGAGGCAGCAGAUGGCUGAAAUUCUGAUCCGAUGUGGCUGGUUAAUGCAUGAUCUGAAAACCCCUGCACUGGUGAUUUUGGGACAGAUCUAGAAUAUACCAAUAAAUAUAUUAACAUACCAAGUAGUCUAGGAGCAGCCACUGGGCGAACACCAAACCUUGCAUCCCUGCUGCUGUCUCUGAGCUCAGCAGACACGUCUUUGCAGAAGAGUUCUAUAAUGGUGGUACAAUGGUGCCCCCUCGUGACAGAAGCUUGAACUACAGCUUGAACAUCGAGAUGAAAAUAUACUGUCUACGUUGUUCAACACAAUAGCUAAUGGCAACUGUGGCAGUUGAACACCCGAAACGUGAUGAAUGUGACUGAGGAACUGAACUUUUAGUUUCAUUGUGACAUGAUGAAUGAAUUUAUUGAGCCCCAGGAAGAAGGAAAAUUAAAGAAGAGCAAAGAAUAAUAGCUGGACAGAAGAUGGGGGUCAUUGAACCUAUAUCCUAGUUGCCAGACCAGUAAACUGACCAUGGGACCUGGGGGAGGCAGCAGAUGACCGAAAACCUGGAGUGAUGUGGCUGAAUACCGCAUGAUCUGAAGACUGCACUGGUGGCUGCGGUAUGGGUCCAAAUUUUUCCUUAACAAAAACAA
This 2177-nucleotide long non-coding RNA is filed under the name Homo sapiens (human). Its description in RNAcentral is "non-protein coding LINC00630:8". The record is from RNAcentral. Lineage: Eukaryota; Metazoa; Chordata; Mammalia; Primates; Hominidae.